This 433-nucleotide ribosomal RNA is filed under the name uncultured bacterium. RNAcentral describes it as "partial 16S ribosomal RNA". It matches the Rfam family "Bacterial small subunit ribosomal RNA", at positions 29 to 507 of the family's 1533-position model. The record is from RNAcentral.
AGCGAACGCUGGCGGCAGGCUUAACACAUGCAAGUCGAGCGGGCACUCCGGUGUCAGCGGCAGACGGGUGAGUAACACGUGGGAACGUACCCUUUGGUUCGGAAUAACGCUGGGAAACUAGCGCUAAUACCGGAUACGCCCUUUUGGGGAAAGGCUGGCUGCGGAAGUAUCGGCCGGCGACUGUUUAGCUGGUUGGGGGGGUAAUGGCCUACCACGGCGUAGUUCAGUAGCUGGGCUGAGAGGAUGAGCAGCCACACUGGGAGUGAGAUCCGGCCCAGAAUCUUGCGCGAUGCAGCAGUGGGGAAUAUUGCACAAUGGGGUCAAGCCUGAUCCAGCCAUGCCGGGUGAGUGAUGAAGUCCUUAGGGUUGUAAAGCUCUUUUGUCCGGGACGAUAAUGACGGUACCGGAAGAAUAAGCCCCGGCUAACUUCGUG